GAUGAACGCUGGCGGCGUGCCUAAUACAUGCAAGUCGAGCGAACAGACGAGGAGCUUGCUCCUCUGACGUUAGCGGCGGACGGGUGAGUAACACGUGGAUAACCUACCUAUAAGACUGGGAUAACUUCGGGAAACCGGAGCUAAUACCGGAUAAUAUAUUGAACCGCAUGGUUCAAUAGUGAAAGACGGUUUUGCUGUCACUUAUAGAUGGAUCCGCGCCGCAUUAGCUAGUUGGUAAGGUAACGGCUUACCAAGGCAACGAUGCGUAGCCGACCUGAGAGGGUGAUCGGCCACACUGGAACUGAGACACGGUCCAGACUCCUACGAGAGGCAGCAGUAGGGAAUCUUCCGCAAAGGGCGAAAGCCUGACGGAGCAACGCCGCGUGAGUGAUGAAGGUCUUCGGAUCGUAAAACUCUGUUAUUAGGGAAGAACAAAUGUGUAAGUAACUACGCACGUCUUGACGGUACCUAAUCAGAAAGCCACGGCUAACUACGUG
Molecule: ribosomal RNA, 497 nt
Filed under: uncultured bacterium
Lineage: Bacteria
Description: partial 16S ribosomal RNA
Rfam family: Bacterial small subunit ribosomal RNA
Source: RNAcentral